UUCUACGGCUGGUUACGGAUUACUUUAAUCAUCUCCAAAUGAAUCCAUUCCGCUUUCAUGAAAACUCAUAACAUGUUUUGCAUGCUACUUUGCAGUGAUAGACACUUUGCUCUCGUCUAGUUUGGCAACUCUCAGGCAAACGAUUCAGCGAGUCCUAGCGAAUCGAGUCUGUACAGUGUCUUUAUGCUAAUAAGGCUAAGUAGGCUGUUACUACACACUUGCUGAGCUGGUGCGAACAUGGAGCACGCAAGACUCCUUCUCCUUCUGAUCAUGGGAAACUUCCUCGCAAGUACCGAUCUUUUAGACUGCUCUGUGGAGAAUAACACCACCUGUGACUGCGUUCACAAUGCCACAUUGGACACUGCUGAAUAUUAUGAGAAGUACAGAGACUGCGAUUGGAGUUUGAGGAACAAGGAGGAUAUAGUUCUUCAACUACUAACUCCAGUCCCACAUGUAACUGUCCCAUGCAGCUGGCAUGAAGUUUACUUGAAGUUGAACUGCGACAGCCCAAAGCAUGAAGUGAUUCUGCAUUGGUACAAGUGUGCGUAUCCAUCUACUCCUAUUCUACCCUUUUCCUUCAAAUAACUUAGCAAAUGCUUUUUCACAUGAAUUAAUCAGUCUUUUCUGACUGUUUGCAGUUGAAAGCAAAACUGAACACAUCAGUUCUGGAGAAAGUGAGUAGAACAUAAAAAUAAGCCCUUCCAUUUUGUAUUUAGGAAUUUCAUGGUAUUUAUUUUCUGAGUAAUUCUGGAUAGCAGCUGAAAGUUUAUAGCCUUUCUACGUUAAUUUGGAACCCAGUUUCUGUGACAGAAGAUUGACAGAUGAUUUUGUCACUUAUUAUUCUGAAUGCCUCAUUGUAUUAUUAUUUUGCAUUGGUUUUAGCUCCCCUUCAAAGUCAUGUGAGCAUUCUGUGUCUGUGUCUGUGGUGCUUGAGGUACUUACUAUAAAGCACUGACAAAACAUGCAUGACCACCGACGAUGAUAGAAGUGUACAUUAUGCCAUCCACAAAAAAGUUACAUAGUUUAUUUGAUCUGCAAGAAUGAUUUUUAGAGUACUUUCUAGGAGUUUUAAUUCACUAUAUGGCCAAAAGUUUGUGGAAACCUGACCAUCCCAUCCAUACAGCCCUGAAUUAUAUUAGGGGGUGGGGCUUAAGCCCUAUGGGGCCUUCAUGUGUUAACAUGAAGUUCGUCUUCGUUAUGGUACUGUGUGUGUGUGUGUGUGUGUG
Ictalurus punctatus (channel catfish) is the source of this 1226-nucleotide long non-coding RNA. Lineage: Eukaryota; Metazoa; Chordata; Actinopteri; Siluriformes; Ictaluridae. The record is from Ensembl.